This 2686-nucleotide ribosomal RNA is filed under the name Staphylococcus aureus subsp. aureus CIGC348. RNAcentral describes it as "bacterial LSU rRNA". It matches the Rfam family "Bacterial large subunit ribosomal RNA". Lineage: Bacteria; Bacillati; Bacillota; Bacilli; Caryophanales; Staphylococcaceae. The record is from RNAcentral.
UUCCCUUAGUAGCGGCGAGCGAAACGGGAAGAGCCCAAACCAACAAGCUUGCUUGUUGGGGUUGUAGGACACUCUAUACGGAGUUACAAAGGACGACAUUAGACGAAUCAUCUGGAAAGAUGAAUCAAAGAAGGUAAUAAUCCUGUAGUCGAAAAUGUUGUCUCUCUUGAGUGGAUCCUGAGUACGACGGAGCACGUGAAAUUCCGUCGGAAUCUGGGAGGACCAUCUCCUAAGGCUAAAUACUCUCUAGUGACCGAUAGUGAACCAGUACCGUGAGGGAAAGGUGAAAAGCACCCCGGAAGGGGAGUGAAAUAGAACCUGAAACCGUGUGCUUACAAGUAGUCAGAGCCCGUUAAUGGGUGAUGGCGUGCCUUUUGUAGAAUGAACCGGCGAGUUACGAUUUGAUGCAAGGUUAAGCAGUAAAUGUGGAGCCGUAGCGAAAGCGAGUCUGAAUAGGGCGUUUAGUAUUUGGUCGUAGACCCGAAACCAGGUGAUCUACCCUUGGUCAGGUUGAAGUUCAGGUAACACUGAAUGGAGGACCGAACCGACUUACGUUGAAAAGUGAGCGGAUGAACUGAGGGUAGCGGAGAAAUUCCAAUCGAACCUGGAGAUAGCUGGUUCUCUCCGAAAUAGCUUUAGGGCUAGCCUCAAGUGAUGAUUAUUGGAGGUAGAGCACUGUUUGGACGAGGGGCCCCUCUCGGGUUACCGAAUUCAGACAAACUCCGAAUGCCAAUUAAUUUAACUUGGGAGUCAGAACAUGGGUGAUAAGGUCCGUGUUCGAAAGGGAAACAGCCCAGACCACCAGCUAAGGUCCCAAAAUAUAUGUUAAGUGGAAAAGGAUGUGGCGUUGCCCAGACAACUAGGAUGUUGGCUUAGAAGCAGCCAUCAUUUAAAGAGUGCGUAAUAGCUCACUAGUCGAGUGACACUGCGCCGAAAAUGUACCGGGGCUAAACAUAUUACCGAAGCUGUGGAUUGUCCUUUGGACAAUGGUAGGAGAGCGUUCUAAGGGCGUUGAAGCAUGAUCGUAAGGACAUGUGGAGCGCUUAGAAGUGAGAAUGCCGGUGUGAGUAGCGAAAGACGGGUGAGAAUCCCGUCCACCGAUUGACUAAGGUUUCCAGAGGAAGGCUCGUCCGCUCUGGGUUAGUCGGGUCCUAAGCUGAGGCCGACAGGCGUAGGCGAUGGAUAACAGGUUGAUAUUCCUGUACCACCUAUAAUCGUUUUAAUCGAUGGGGGGACGCAGUAGGAUAGGCGAAGCGUGCGAUUGGAUUGCACGUCUAAGCAGUAAGGCUGAGUAUUAGGCAAAUCCGGUACUCGUUAAGGCUGAGCUGUGAUGGGGAGAAGACAUUGUGUCUUCGAGUCGUUGAUUUCACACUGCCGAGAAAAGCCUCUAGAUAGAAAAUAGGUGCCCGUACCGCAAACCGACACAGGUAGUCAAGAUGAGAAUUCUAAGGUGAGCGAGCGAACUCUCGUUAAGGAACUCGGCAAAAUGACCCCGUAACUUCGGGAGAAGGGGUGCUCUUUAGGGUUAACGCCCAGAAGAGCCGCAGUGAAUAGGCCCAAGCGACUGUUUAUCAAAAACACAGGUCUCUGCUAAACCGUAAGGUGAUGUAUAGGGGCUGACGCCUGCCCGGUGCUGGAAGGUUAAGAGGAGUGGUUAGCUUCUGCGAAGCUACGAAUCGAAGCCCCAGUAAACGGCGGCCGUAACUAUAACGGUCCUAAGGUAGCGAAAUUCCUUGUCGGGUAAGUUCCGACCCGCACGAAAGGCGUAACGAUUUGGGCACUGUCUCAACGAGAGACUCGGUGAAAUCAUAGUACCUGUGAAGAUGCAGGUUACCCGCGACAGGACGGAAAGACCCCGUGGAGCUUUACUGUAGCCUGAUAUUGAAAUUCGGCACAGCUUGUACAGGAUAGGUAGGAGCCUUUGAAACGUGAGCGCUAGCUUACGUGGAGGCGCUGGUGGGAUACUACCCUAGCUGUGUUGGCUUUCUAACCCGCACCACUUAUCGUGGUGGGAGACAGUGUCAGGCGGGCAGUUUGACUGGGGCGGUCGCCUCCUAAAAGGUAACGGAGGCGCUCAAAGGUUCCCUCAGAAUGGUUGGAAAUCAUUCAUAGAGUGUAAAGGCAUAAGGGAGCUUGACUGCGAGACCUACAAGUCGAGCAGGGUCGAAAGACGGACUUAGUGAUCCGGUGGUUCCGCAUGGAAGGGCCAUCGCUCAACGGAUAAAAGCUACCCCGGGGAUAACAGGCUUAUCUCCCCCAAGAGUUCACAUCGACGGGGAGGUUUGGCACCUCGAUGUCGGCUCAUCGCAUCCUGGGGCUGUAGUCGGUCCCAAGGGUUGGGCUGUUCGCCCAUUAAAGCGGUACGCGAGCUGGGUUCAGAACGUCGUGAGACAGUUCGGUCCCUAUCCGUCGUGGGCGUAGGAAAUUUGAGAGGAGCUGUCCUUAGUACGAGAGGACCGGGAUGGACAUACCUCUGGUGUACCAGUUGUCGUGCCAACGGCAUAGCUGGGUAGCUAUGUGUGGACGGGAUAAGUGCUGAAAGCAUCUAAGCAUGAAGCCCCCCUCAAGAUGAGAUUUCCCAACUUCGGUUAUAAGAUCCCUCAAAGAUGAUGAGGUUAAUAGGUUCGAGGUGGAAGCAUGGUGACAUGUGGAGCUGACGAAUACUAAUCGAUCGAAGACUUAAUCA